GAUCGGUGGUCAAAAGGGAAACAACCCAGAUCGUCAGUUUAGGAUCCCAAAGUGUAAGUUAAGUGGGAAAGGAUGUGAGAUUUCUAAGACAACUAGGAUGUUGGCUUAGAAGCAGCCAUUCAUUAAAAGAGUGCGUAGUAGCUCACUGGUCGAGAGAUCUUGCGCCAAAAAUGUAACGGGGCUAAACUUACCACCGAAGCUACGGGCUUGAGCAUAGUUCAAGUGGUAGGAGAGCGUCGUAACCGGGCUGAAGUCAUACCGUAAGGAGCGGUGGACUGGUUACGAGUGAGAAUGUUGGCAUCUCUAGCAAGAUGUGGGUGACAAUCUCAGAGGCUGAAAACCUAAUGUUUCCUCGGGUAGGUACGUCCGUCUGAUGGUUAGUCGGGACCUUUGCCAAGGCCGAAUGGCGUAGGUGAUGGACAACUGGUUGAUAUUCCAGUGCCUCUACCAUCCAUAUUAUCGAUGGCGUGACGCAUGCUGAUAGAGUGUGCUCACUAUUGGAUGCUUGGUCUUGCGUUUAGGUAGUGAGAGUAGGCAAAUCCGCUCUCAUCAUGCUGAGGCGUUAUAGGAAAGGUGCUAUUGUAUUUAAGUAUAUGAUUCCACGCCUUCUAUAAAAGCGUCUAGUAGAGAGAAUAGUUGCUCUUACUCUUUACUGACACACGUUGGUGAUGCAAGAAUCCUUAAUGCAGGUGGAACACUUCAAGUUAAUGAAUUCUACCAAAUUACCCUGAUAAUUUUUCAGAAGGUGGUGC
This 752-nucleotide ribosomal RNA is filed under the name Clostridium perfringens. RNAcentral describes it as "bacterial LSU rRNA". It matches the Rfam family "Bacterial large subunit ribosomal RNA", at positions 1002 to 1751 of the family's 2925-position model. Lineage: Bacteria; Bacillati; Bacillota; Clostridia; Eubacteriales; Clostridiaceae. The record is from RNAcentral.